GCUUUCGUGGUGCAGCGGUUAGCACACUCGGUGCGUAUUCCAGAGGUGCAGGUUCGAGUCCCGGCGAUGGCA
RNAcentral lists this transfer RNA (72 nucleotides) under Stegodyphus mimosarum. It matches the Rfam family "tRNA". Rfam says of the family: Transfer RNA (tRNA) molecules are approximately 80 nucleotides in length. Their secondary structure includes four short double-helical elements and three loops (D, anti-codon, and T loops). Further hydrogen bonds mediate the characteristic L-shaped molecular structure. tRNAs have two regions of fundamental functional importance: the anti-codon, which is responsible for specific mRNA codon recognition, and the 3' end, to which the tRNAs corresponding amino acid is attached (by aminoacyl-tRNA synthetases). tRNAs cope with the degeneracy of the genetic code in two manners: having more than one tRNA (with a specific anti-codon) for a particular amino acid; and 'wobble' base-pairing, i.e. permitting non-standard base-pairing at the 3rd anti-codon position. Lineage: Eukaryota; Metazoa; Arthropoda; Arachnida; Araneae; Eresidae. The record is from Rfam by way of RNAcentral.